Molecule: ribosomal RNA, 253 nt
Filed under: uncultured bacterium
Lineage: Bacteria
Description: partial 16S ribosomal RNA
Rfam family: Bacterial small subunit ribosomal RNA
Source: RNAcentral
UACGUAGGGUGCGAGCGUUAAUCGGAAUUACUGGGCGUAAAGCGUGCGCAGGCGGUUCGUCGUGUCCGAUGUGAAAGCCCCGGGCUCAACCUGGGAAUGGCAUUGGAAACUGGCGGACUCGAGUGUGGCAGAGGGGGGUGGAAUUCCGCGUGUAGCAGUGAAAUGCGUAGAUAUGCGGAGGAACACCGAUGGCGAAGGCAGCCCCCUGGGUCAAAACUGACGCUCAUGCACGAAAGCGUGGGGAGCAAACAGG